RNAcentral lists this long non-coding RNA (350 nucleotides) under Salmo trutta (river trout). RNAcentral describes it as "lncRNA (ENSSTUG00000014257.1)". The record is from RNAcentral. Lineage: Eukaryota; Metazoa; Chordata; Actinopteri; Salmoniformes; Salmonidae.
UGGCAGGGCUGCAUUAUGUGAGCAUUAGAGUCUCAUUGAAGUUGUCUGUUUCUGGAUCUGAAAGAAUAAGACCGGUCCAUUUCUCUUUCCCGUGGGGUUUGGAGGUAAUCCAGUCUAAACAUGGCAGAUGAAGAAAAUGAGUAAGCAGUUGAGGUUGAAGUCCCAGCAGAGGAAGGUAAAGCGUCCCAUGUGCUGUGAACUGCAUGUAUACAGCUCCAUAAAUAAUAGUAUUAUCAAGAUAUGGAUAUUGUACAGCUAGAGAUUCAGUUUGCUUCAGUGUUGAAAUACUCUAUAUUCCUAUGUCAUACAUGCUAGUUUCACAGAAUGCACUGUAACAUUUUGGCUCUAGU